RNAcentral lists this ribosomal RNA (480 nucleotides) under uncultured bacterium. RNAcentral describes it as "partial 16S ribosomal RNA". It matches the Rfam family "Bacterial small subunit ribosomal RNA", at positions 28 to 507 of the family's 1533-position model. The record is from RNAcentral.
GACGAACGCUGGCGGCGUGCUUAACACAUGCAAGUCGAGCGAUGAAACUUUAACAUAACCCUUCGGGGCGUAGCUAACGUGGAUUUACGGCGGACGGGUGAUGAACCCGUGAGUAACCUGCCUUAGACAUUGGGAUAGCCUUAGGAAACCGGGAUUUUUUCCAACUAAAAUCAUAAAGGCACAUGUCAUACCGAUCAAGACUCCGGUGGUCUAAGAUGGACGGUCGUCUCGUUAGCUAGUUGGGAGAGUAAAAGCCUACCAAGGCGACGAUGGGUAGCCGGGCAGAGAGGACGAACAGCAACAGUCGAAGUGAGGAACGGUCCACACUCCUACGGGAGGAAGCAGUGGGGAAUAUUGCACAAUGGAGGGAACUAUGAAGCAGCUACGCCGCGUGAACGAAGAAGGUUUGCGAGUAGUAUAGUUCUAUUUUAUGGGAAAAAAAUGACGGUACCAUAAGAAGAAGCCACGGCUAACUACGUG